CACCUGGUUGAUCCUGCCAGUAGUCAUAUGCUUGUCUCAAAGAUUAAGCCAUGCAUGUCUAAGUAUAAGCUUUAAACGGCGAAACUGCGAAUGGCUCAUUAAAACAGUUAUAGUUUAUUUGGUGAUCGAUUACUAUUUGGAUAACCGUAGUAAUUCUAGAGCUAAUACAUGCGUCAAGGCCCGACUUCGGAAGGGCUGCGUUUAUUAGAUACAGAACCAACCUAGGCUCCGCCUAGUCCUUGUUGGUGAUUCAUAAUAACCCGGCGAAUCGCACGGCUUGUCCGGCGAUGGACCAUUCAAGUUUCUGACCUAUCAGCUAUGGACGGUAGGGUAUUGGCCUACCGUGGCGUUGACGGGUAACGGGGAAUUAGGGUUCGAUUCCGGAGAGGGAGCCUGAGAAACGGCUACCACAUCUAAGGAAGGCAGCAGGCGCGCAAAUUACCCAAUCCUGAUACAGGGAGGUAGUGACAAGAAAUAACAAUACAGGGCAAUUCUGUCUUGUAAUUGGAAUGAGUAGAUUUUAAAUCUCUUUACGAGUAUCAAUUGGAGGGCAAGUCUGGUGCCAGCAGCCGCGGUAAUUCCAGCUCCAAUAGCGUAUAUUAAAGUUGUUGCGGUAAAAAGCUCGUAGUGGAUUUCUGCCUUGGGCGACCGAUCACUUUCUACGGGAUGGUUGGUAUCAAGGUUUGACCUUGGCUUUUUCUUGGGAUUCGUGC
Molecule: non-coding RNA, 713 nt
Filed under: Perkinsus marinus ATCC 50983
Lineage: Eukaryota; Perkinsozoa; Perkinsida; Perkinsidae
Description: Eukaryotic small subunit ribosomal RNA
Rfam family: Eukaryotic small subunit ribosomal RNA
Source: Rfam by way of RNAcentral